AUCGAACGCUGGCGGCAUGCCUUACACAUGCAAGUCGAACGGUAACAGGUCUUCGGAUGCUGACGAGUGGCGAACGGGUGAGUAAUACAUCGGAACGUGCCUAGUAGUGGGGGAUAACUACUCGAAAGAGUGGCUAAUACCGCAUGAGAUCUACGGAUGAAAGCAGGGGAUCGCAAGACCUUGUGCCACUAGAGCGGCCGAUGGCAGAUUAGGUAAUUGGUGGGAUAAAAGCUUACCAAGCCGACGAUCUGUAGCUGGUCUGAGAGGACGAUCAGCCACACUGGGACUGAGACACGGCCCAGACUCCUACGGGAGGCAGCAGUGGGGAAUUUUGGACAAUGGGCGCAAGCCUGAUCCAGCAAUGCCGCGUGCAGGAUGAAGGCCUUCGGGUUGUAAACUGCUUUUGUACGGAACGAAAAGCCCCGGGUUAAUACCCUGGGGUCAUGACGGUACCGUAAGAAUAAGCACCGGCUAACUACGUGCCAGCCGCCGCAGUUA
RNAcentral lists this ribosomal RNA (498 nucleotides) under uncultured bacterium. RNAcentral's name for it is "partial 16S ribosomal RNA". It matches the Rfam family "Bacterial small subunit ribosomal RNA", at positions 30 to 523 of the family's 1533-position model. The record is from RNAcentral.